Molecule: ribosomal RNA, 375 nt
Filed under: uncultured organism
Description: partial 16S ribosomal RNA
Rfam family: Bacterial small subunit ribosomal RNA
Source: RNAcentral
AUAGGUGGCGAGCGUUAUUCGGAAUUACUAGGCGUAAAGCGAGUGUAGGCGGACUCUUAAGUCUGACGUUAAAUCUCCUGGCUUAACUAGGAGCUGUCGUCGGAUACUGAGAGCCUCGAAUGGGGUAGGGGGCAGCGGAAUUCCCGGUGUAGCGGUGGAAUGCGUAGAUAUCGGGAGGAACACCUAUGGCGAAAGCAGCUGCCUGGGCCUCUAUUGACGCUAAGACUCGAAAGCUGGGGGAGCAAACAGGGAUUAGAUACCCUGGUAGUCCCAGCUGUAAACGAUGGUCACUAGAUGUGGGAGGUAUCGACCCCCCCCUUCCGUGUCGUCGCUAACGCUUUAAGUGACCCGCCUGGGGAUACGGCCGCAAGGUUA